GGCUCAGAUUGAACGCUGGCGGCAGGCCUAACACAUGCAAGUCGAGCGGUAGCACAAGAGAGCUUGCUCUCUGGGUGACGAGCGGCGGACGGGUGAGUAAUGUCUGGGAAACUGCCUGAUGGCGGGGGAUAACUAGUGGAAACGGUAGCUAAUACCGCAUAACGUCGCAAGACCAAAGUGGGGGACCUUCGGGCCUCACGCCAUCAGAUGUGCCCAGGUGGGAUUAGCUGGUAGGUGGGGUAACGGCUCACCUAGGCGACGAUCCCUAGCUGGUCUGAGAGGAUGACCAGCCACACUGGAACUGAGACACGGUCCAGACUCCUACGGGAGGCAGCAGUGGGGAAUAUUGCACAAUGGGCGCAAGCCUGAUGCAGCCAUGCCGCGUGUGUGAAGAAGGCCUUCGGGUUGUAAAGCACUUUCAGCGAGGAGGAAGGGUAAUGUGUUAAUAGGACAUUGC
Molecule: ribosomal RNA, 457 nt
Filed under: Serratia symbiotica
Lineage: Bacteria; Pseudomonadati; Pseudomonadota; Gammaproteobacteria; Enterobacterales; Yersiniaceae
Description: bacterial SSU rRNA
Rfam family: Bacterial small subunit ribosomal RNA
Source: RNAcentral